RNAcentral lists this ribosomal RNA (253 nucleotides) under uncultured bacterium. RNAcentral describes it as "partial 16S ribosomal RNA". It matches the Rfam family "Bacterial small subunit ribosomal RNA", at positions 524 to 776 of the family's 1533-position model. The record is from RNAcentral.
UACGUAGGGGGCUAGCGUUGUUCGGAAUUACUGGGCGUAAAGAGCGUGUAGGCGGCCUUUUAAGUCCUGCGUGAAAUCCUGCGGCUCAACCGCAGACGGUCGUGGGAAACUGGAAGGCUCGAGUGCGGGAGAGGAGAGUGGAAUUCCCGGUGUAGCGGUGAAAUGCGCAGAUAUCGGGAAGAACACCCGUGGCGAAGGCGGCUCUCUGGAACGCAACUGACGCUGAGACGCGAAAGCGUGGGGAGCAAACAGG